RNAcentral lists this ribosomal RNA (253 nucleotides) under uncultured bacterium. RNAcentral's name for it is "partial 16S ribosomal RNA". It matches the Rfam family "Bacterial small subunit ribosomal RNA", at positions 524 to 776 of the family's 1533-position model. The record is from RNAcentral.
UACGUAGGGGGCAAGCGUUAUCCGGAAUUAUUGGGCGUAAAGAGCUUGUAGGCGGUUUGUCGCGUCUGCUGUGAAAAUCCGGGGCUCAACCCCGGACUUGCAGUGGGUACGGGCAGACUGGAGUACUGCAGGGGAGACUGGAAUUCCUGGUGUAGCGGUGGAAUGCGCAGAUAUCAGGAGGAACACCGAUGGCGAAGGCAGCUCGCUGGGACGGUACUGACGCUGAGACGCGAAAGCGUGGGGAGCAAACAGG